The sequence is a transfer RNA, 73 nucleotides long. It matches the Rfam family "tRNA". Rfam says of the family: Transfer RNA (tRNA) molecules are approximately 80 nucleotides in length. Their secondary structure includes four short double-helical elements and three loops (D, anti-codon, and T loops). Further hydrogen bonds mediate the characteristic L-shaped molecular structure. tRNAs have two regions of fundamental functional importance: the anti-codon, which is responsible for specific mRNA codon recognition, and the 3' end, to which the tRNAs corresponding amino acid is attached (by aminoacyl-tRNA synthetases). tRNAs cope with the degeneracy of the genetic code in two manners: having more than one tRNA (with a specific anti-codon) for a particular amino acid; and 'wobble' base-pairing, i.e. permitting non-standard base-pairing at the 3rd anti-codon position. The record is from Rfam.
GCCCAGUUAGUGUAGUGGCCUAUCAUGCAGCCCUGUCACGGCUGCGACACGGAUUCGAAUUCCGUACUGGGCG